Molecule: ribosomal RNA, 468 nt
Filed under: uncultured bacterium
Lineage: Bacteria
Description: partial 16S ribosomal RNA
Rfam family: Bacterial small subunit ribosomal RNA
Source: RNAcentral
GACGAACGCUGGCGGCGUGCUUAACACAUGCAAGUCGAACGGAAAGGCCCUGCUUUUGUGGGGUGCUCGAGUGGCGAACGGGUGAGUAACACGUGAGUAACCUGCCCUUGACUUUGGGAUAACUUCAGGAAACUGGGGCUAAUACCGGAUAGGAGCUCCUGCUGCAUGGUGGGGGUUGGACAGUUUCGGCGGUUGGGGAUGGACUCGCGGCUUAUCAGCUUGUUGGUGGGGUAGUGGCUUACCAAGGCUUUGACGGGUAGCCGGCCUGAGAGGGUGACCGGCCACAUUGGGACUGAGAUACGGCCCAGACUCCUACGGGAGGCAGCAGUGGGGAAUAUUGCACAAUGGGCGGAAGCCUGAUGCAGCAACGCCGCGUGCGGGAUGACGGCCUUCAGGUUGUAAACCGCUUUCGCCUGUGACGAAGCGUGAGUGACGGUAAUGGGUAAAGAAGCACCGGCUAACUACGUG